GUCAUUUUUUUUUUUUCCGAUCAGAAGGGAAACUCUUCCUGAGAGUGACUUUGCUCAUCUAGCUGACAGCAGUCCUGACUCCUCAUUUAGCUGUACCCCAGGCCUCUCAGGGAUGCUCCUCCCACCAGGCUUUAUCUGCGAUGUAUCUCCAAACGAGUGCGAUGUGGAUGAAGGACAGGAGUCUAGAGUGAUCGCCACCAAACCUGGCUGCAGAGCCUGUCACAAAAGGCAGGAGGGUCCACUGAAAUCCUUGGUAGAAUCCUGAGAUCGGCUUCUGUGUUUGGUUUGCCUUUGUUCAGCUGUGGAUGGCACAAUGAGACCCUUUUUGCUCUUCCUGCUGCAUCUGAGCCUGUGAUACCCUCCUCUGCAGAAAAAAUUAUGGAUUUGAUGGAGCAGCCAGGUAACACUGUUUCGUCUGGUCAAGAGGAUUUCCCAUCUGUCCUGCUUGAAACUGCUGCCUCUCUUCCUUCUCUAUCUCCUCUCUCAACUGUUUCUUUUAAAGAACAUGGA
This 510-nucleotide long non-coding RNA is filed under the name Rattus norvegicus (Norway rat). RNAcentral's name for it is "long non-coding RNA NONRATT009658". The record is from RNAcentral. Lineage: Eukaryota; Metazoa; Chordata; Mammalia; Rodentia; Muridae.